RNAcentral lists this transfer RNA (59 nucleotides) under Delftia tsuruhatensis. It matches the Rfam family "tRNA", at positions 9 to 64 of the family's 71-position model. Rfam says of the family: Transfer RNA (tRNA) molecules are approximately 80 nucleotides in length. Their secondary structure includes four short double-helical elements and three loops (D, anti-codon, and T loops). RNAcentral also lists the same sequence under 2 other names. Lineage: Bacteria; Pseudomonadati; Pseudomonadota; Betaproteobacteria; Burkholderiales; Comamonadaceae. The record is from RNAcentral.
AGCGCAGCCUGGUAGCGCACUUGCAUGGGGUGCAAGGGGUCGCGAGUUCGAAUCCCGCC